CAAAUUUCAUAGAUGUCAAUUUCAAUACUGUUUCCUGACAAAAUUGGUCUUACCUCGUAAGACACUCGGUGUGAAAUGGAAAGCGUCGAUAUUGAUAGAAUCCUUGAAGGUUGCAUAAUCGAAAUUCAGAGUAUAAGUAAGAAAAGCUACGGGAAAAGUAAGCGAUAAUAUUCUACAUCUGAGGGGCAUAUCUCGAACCAAAUUUCCAUAAUAUUAAAUUGUGUUUCAGGUUAGCUUUGAUAUUAUUAUUUAAAUAAAACACGAUUAGUUUGAGAA
Diorhabda carinulata is the source of this 276-nucleotide long non-coding RNA. RefSeq lists it as uncharacterized. The transcript has 2 exons. NCBI's taxonomy places the organism in Eukaryota, Metazoa, Arthropoda, Insecta, Coleoptera, Chrysomelidae. The record is from RefSeq and is a predicted model, not a curated record.